AACGUAGGUCCCGAGCGUUAUCCGGAUUUACUGGGCGUAAAGGGCGCGUAGGCGGCCUUCUAAGUCGAACGUGAAAUCCCCGGGCUCAACCCGGGAACUGCGUCCGAUACUGGGAGGCUUGAAUCCGGGAGAGGGAUGUGGAAUUCCAGGUGUAGCGGUGAAAUGCGUAGAUAUCUGGGGGAACACCGGUGGCGAAGGCGGCAUCCUGGACCGGUAUUGACGCUGAGGCGCGAAAGCUAGGGGAGCAAACGGGAUUAGAUACCCGAGUAGU
This 271-nucleotide ribosomal RNA is filed under the name uncultured bacterium. Its description in RNAcentral is "partial 16S ribosomal RNA". It matches the Rfam family "Bacterial small subunit ribosomal RNA", at positions 524 to 794 of the family's 1533-position model. The record is from RNAcentral.